This 1172-nucleotide long non-coding RNA is filed under the name Mytilus galloprovincialis (Mediterranean mussel). Lineage: Eukaryota; Metazoa; Mollusca; Bivalvia; Mytilida; Mytilidae. The record is from RNAcentral.
UGAGUAGAUACCAAACAAUGUCAACUCGCCCCACUGGCCAAUCGGCCCAACCUAUAUCGCCACUUUAUGAAAAAAAUCGCUCCACUCUUGUUUACCGACUCGCCUCACUUUUGAUAAAAGUGUAAAAUCAAACUGAACAAUCACUGACAACUCACUAAUUAACGAAAAGGGUUUUAACCCCAUUGAAUAAAGGUCUGUCAACUCGCCCAACUUAUAAAAAAAACAUCUUGCUUCCUUUAAGUAGGUUAAAUUACAGAUAGUUCGUAUCCAGUCGUCCUGGUGUAGUGGUUGUGUCGUGGCUUGAUAUGCUAAUUAAGGUCUUGAGUUCGAAUCCCAGCAUAUACACUGGAUUUUUUCUACGUAAAUUUUGAUAGAUAGUCUUUUACGUAUAAUUGUAUAUUUAAUUAUAAGUUUUAUAGUGGAUUUGACAUUCCCGCCAAAAUGUUACAGAACAAAGGAAAGCAUGCAUAACAAAGAAUCUCAAACUAGGGUGAUCUGUUAGAACAAAGGAGCUGGGAUGUAAGUUGAAAUAACAUUGGUUAUAAUAUAAAGAAAAUACAUGAUUAUAAUAGGAAUACAACCACUCAUUCAUAGUCCCAUUGCUUUCUAAGUUAAAUGUUGCAAUUCAAGCAAUAAUGGCUGCUUUGUGCUAAGUUAGAGAAAGUGGCAGUUAUUUCGUGUAAAACAGGUCUUUAAUCUUUCACUUGAUACCAAAUUUUACUAAAUGACAAAGCUAUGUGUUGGAAUUAUUUUGUUCUGAACUUCUUUCUUGUGUAUGAUCUGUCUUAGCGGACCUUACAAUUAGUGGUUCUGUACAUAGUAGUACAUGAUAGUUUUUAUUUGUUUAACAUUAACUACUCUGCAUUGACUUUGGAGCUUAACCAUUUAUUUGCAAUUAGUUCAUGCUUAACGAAGGCGAGGUAAAUGCACAUAAUAUAUAUACAAACUUGUACAAAACAUAUAUAUAGUUAAUAAUAAUUGUGACAUAUGAGAUAAAGAACACUGAUCGAUAAGAGACCUUUAACUCGAAAAGCAUAAUUUUCUCUUAAAAAAGAUAGCUUUGAACAGAAUAUGUACACCCUUUCACUAAAGAUAGCGUUGAACAGAAUAUGUAAAUCCGUUUACUAAAGAUAGCUGUGAACAGAAUCUGUACAUUCUUUUACUAAAGAUAG